GUCUUCCUUCUGCAGCACAUAAAGUAGAACUGAAAUAAUAACAAAGAAGACUGGCAUAGACCCUACGCAAGGAUGGCAUCCAAAUUCAUGCAGCAUAUCUUAUUUUU
This 107-nucleotide small nuclear RNA is filed under the name Meriones unguiculatus (Mongolian gerbil). The record is from RNAcentral. Lineage: Eukaryota; Metazoa; Chordata; Mammalia; Rodentia; Muridae.